This 438-nucleotide ribosomal RNA is filed under the name Bifidobacterium longum. RNAcentral's name for it is "bacterial SSU rRNA". It matches the Rfam family "Bacterial small subunit ribosomal RNA", at positions 46 to 498 of the family's 1533-position model. The record is from RNAcentral. Lineage: Bacteria; Bacillati; Actinomycetota; Actinomycetes; Bifidobacteriales; Bifidobacteriaceae.
GCUUACCAUGCAAGUCGAACGGGAUCCAUCAAGCUUGCUUGGUGGUGAGAGUGGCGAACGGGUGAGUAAUGCGUGACCGACCUGCCCCAUACACCGGAAUAGCUCCUGGAAACGGGUGGUAAUGCCGGAUGCUCCAGUUGAUCGCAUGGUCUUCUGGGAAAGCUUUCGCGGUAUGGGAUGGGGUCGCGUCCUAUCAGCUUGACGGCGGGGUAACGGCCCACCGUGGCUUCGACGGGUAGCCGGCCUGAGAGGGCGACCGGCCACAUUGGGACUGAGAUACGGCCCAGACUCCUACGGGAGGCAGCAGUGGGGAAUAUUGCACAAUGGGCGCAAGCCUGAUGCAGCGACGCCGCGUGAGGGAUGGAGGCCUUCGGGUUGUAAACCUCUUUUAUCGGGGAGCAAGCGAGAGUGAGUUUACCCGUUGAAUAAGCACCGGCU